AGAGUUUGAUCAUGGCUCAGGACGAACGCUGGCGGUGUGCUUAACACAUGCAAGUCGAACGGAAAGGCCCUUCGGGGUACUCGAGUGGCGAACGGGUGAGUAACACGUGGGUGAUCUGCCCUGCACUUUGGGAUAAGCCUGGGAAACUGGGUCUAAUACCGAAUAUGACCAUGCGCCUCCUGGUGUGUGGUGGAAAGCUUUUGCGGUGUGGGAUGGGCCCGCGGCCUAUCAGCUUGUUGGUGGGGUAAUGGCCUACCAAGGCGACGACGGGUAGCCGGCCUGAGAGGGUGACCGGCCACACUGGGACUGAGAUACGGCCCAGACUCCUACGGGAGGCAGCAGUGGGGAAUAUUGCACAAUGGGCGCAAGCCUGAUGCAGCGACGCCGCGUGAGGGAUGACGGCCUUCGGGUUGUAAACCUCUUUCAGCACAGACGAAGCGCAAGUGACGGUAUGUGCAGAAGAAGGACCGGCCAACUACGUGCCAGCAGCCGCGGUAAUACGUAGGGUCCGAGCGUUGUCCGGAAUUACUGAGCGUAAAGAGCUCGUAGGUGGUUUGUCGCGUUGUUCGUGAAAACUCACAGCUUAACUGUGGGCGUGCGGGCGAUACGGGCAGACUUGAGUACUGCAGGGGAGACUGGAAUUCCUGGUGUAGCGGUGGAAUGCGCAGAUAUCAGGAGGAACACCGGUGGCGAAGGCGGGUCUCUGGGCAGUAACUGACGCUGAGGAGCGAAAGCGUGGGGAGCGAACAGGAUUAGAUACCCCGGUAGUCC
RNAcentral lists this ribosomal RNA (771 nucleotides) under uncultured bacterium. RNAcentral's name for it is "bacterial SSU rRNA". It matches the Rfam family "Bacterial small subunit ribosomal RNA", at positions 8 to 796 of the family's 1533-position model. The record is from RNAcentral.